RNAcentral lists this ribosomal RNA (506 nucleotides) under uncultured bacterium. RNAcentral's name for it is "partial 16S ribosomal RNA". It matches the Rfam family "Bacterial small subunit ribosomal RNA", at positions 30 to 523 of the family's 1533-position model. The record is from RNAcentral.
AUUGAACGCUGGCGGCAGGCCUAACACAUGCAAGUCGAACGGUAACAGGAAGCAGCUUGCUGCUUCGCUGACGAGUGGCGGACGGGUGAGUAAUGUCUGGGAAACUGCCUGAUGGAGGGGGAUAACUACUGGAAACGGUAGCUAAUACCGCAUAACGUCGCAAGACCAAAGAGGGGGACCUUCGGGCCUCUUGCCAUCGGAUGUGCCAAGAUGGGAUUAGCUAGUAGGUGGGGUAACGGCUCACCUAGGCGACGAUCCCUAGCUGGUCGGAGAGGAUGACCAGCCACACUGGAACUGAGACACGGUCCAGACUCCUACGGGAGGCAGCAGUGGGGAAUAUUGCACAAUGGGCGCAAGCCUGAUGCAGCCAUGCCGCGUGUAUGAAGAAGGCCUUCGGGUUGUAAAGUACUUUCAGCGGGGAGGAAGGCGAUAAGGUUAAUAACCUUGUCGAUUGACGUUACCCGCAGAAGAAGCACCGGCUAACUCCGUGCCAGCCGCCGCGGUAA